UACGUGGGGGGCAAGCGUUGUUCGGAAUUACUGGGCGUAAAGGGCUCGUAGGUGGCCAACUAAGUCAUACGUGAAAUCCCUCGGCUUAACCGGGGAACUGCGUCUGAUACUGGAUGGCUUGAGGUUGGGAGAGGGAUGCGGAAUUCCAGGUGUAGCGGUGAAAUGCGUAGAUAUCUGGAGGAACACCGGUGGCGAAGGCGGCAUCCUGGACCAAUUCUGACACUGAGGAGCGAAAGCCAGGGGAGCAAACGGG
This 253-nucleotide ribosomal RNA is filed under the name uncultured bacterium. RNAcentral describes it as "partial 16S ribosomal RNA". It matches the Rfam family "Bacterial small subunit ribosomal RNA", at positions 524 to 776 of the family's 1533-position model. The record is from RNAcentral.